AUUAAAGCGAUGAAGAGAAUGAGUAAAUAUGACAUAAAUAUUAAGAGAGGAAGUGGGUGGUGAAAACUUCUUAUUUAGCAUAUUGAAGCUAUCUUGGAGCUUAUUUUACUUUAAGUGAUGUAUACUUUAUACAUAAUUAGGGUGGUACCGCGGAAAUUAUAAGUUUUCGUCCCUUUU
This 177-nucleotide non-coding RNA is filed under the name Clostridium celatum. RNAcentral's name for it is "T-box sequence". It matches the Rfam family "T-box leader". Rfam says of the family: Uncharged tRNA acts as the effector for transcription antitermination of genes in the T-box leader family. T-boxes are found upstream of many aminoacyl-tRNA synthetase genes and some amino acid biosynthetic genes usually in Gram-positive bacteria. The anticodon of a specific tRNA base pairs to a specifier sequence within the T-box motif, and the NCCA acceptor tail of the tRNA base pairs to a conserved bulge in the T-box antiterminator hairpin. Lineage: Bacteria; Bacillati; Bacillota; Clostridia; Eubacteriales; Clostridiaceae. The record is from RNAcentral.